Molecule: long non-coding RNA, 605 nt
Filed under: Daucus carota (carrot)
Lineage: Eukaryota; Viridiplantae; Streptophyta; Magnoliopsida; Apiales; Apiaceae
Description: long non-coding RNA (DCAR_LNC003082)
Source: RNAcentral
GCUGAGAUGCUUGUCAUGGCUUACGGCAGGUCAUAUGGUUUACCUGUUAUUACAACCCGGGGUAAUAAUGUCUAUGGUCCUAAUCAGUUUCCAGAAAAGUUGAUCCCAAAGUUCAUCCUUUUAGCCAUGAGGGGAAUGCAACUUCCUAUUCAUGGGGAUGGUGCCAAUGUGCGCAGUUAUCUCUACUGCGAGGACGUUGCUGAGGCCUUUGAGGUUGUUCUUCACAAGGGAGAAGUUGGCCAUGUUUAUAAUAUUGGGACAAAGAAGGAAAGGAGAGUUACUGAUGUUGCCAGAGACAUCUGUAAACUUUUUUCUGUGGACCCAGAAACAAAUAUUAACUAUGUAGAGAACAGGCCAUUCAAUGAUCAGAGGUAUUUCCUAGAUGAUCAGAAGUUGAAAAACUUGGGCUGGGCUGAGCGCACUACAUGGGAAGAAGGGCUAAAAAAGACUAUGGACUGGUACACUAGCAACCCUGAUUGGUGGGGAGAUGUAUCUGGAGCAUUGCUUCCUCAUCCAAGAAUGCUGAUGAUGCCUGGUGGAAUUGAGAGACACUUUGACGGAUCUGAAAACCGUGACGCUGAAUCAACCCGUUUCGUGGAUAAAUC